This 445-nucleotide ribosomal RNA is filed under the name uncultured bacterium. Its description in RNAcentral is "partial 16S ribosomal RNA". It matches the Rfam family "Bacterial small subunit ribosomal RNA", at positions 354 to 796 of the family's 1533-position model. The record is from RNAcentral.
GUAGGGAAUAUUGGGCAAUGGAUGCAAGUCUGACCCAGCCAUCCCGCGUGCCGGAAGAAGGCCCUCAGGGUUGUAAACGGCUUUUGACGGUGAAGAAUCGACAGGAUGCGUCCUGUUUUGACGGUAGCCGUUGAAUAAGCACCGGCUAACUCCGUGCCAGCAGCCGCGGUAAUACGGAGGGUGCGCGCGUUGUCCGGAUUUAUUGGGUUUAAAGGGUGCGUAGGCUGGAAGGUCAGUCAGCGGUGAAAAGCUGUCGCUUAACGAUAGUCUUGCCGCAGAUACUUCCUUUCUUGGAUGAGGAGGAGGCCACUGGAACGGAUGGUGUAGCGGUGAAAUGCAUAGAUAUCAGCCAGAACACCGAUUGCGAAGGCAGGUGGCUGUACCUUAAUCGACGCUGAUGCACGAAAGCAUGGGGAGCAAACAGGAUUAGAUACCCUUGUAGUCC